UCCCUGAUGGUCCAGUGGUUACAACUCUGCACUUAAACUGCAGGGUGGGGUGUGGGUUUGAUCCCUGUUCAGGGAA
Molecule: transfer RNA, 76 nt
Filed under: Capra hircus (goat)
Lineage: Eukaryota; Metazoa; Chordata; Mammalia; Artiodactyla; Bovidae
Also listed under: 1 other name
Rfam family: tRNA
About the family: Transfer RNA (tRNA) molecules are approximately 80 nucleotides in length. Their secondary structure includes four short double-helical elements and three loops (D, anti-codon, and T loops).
Source: Rfam by way of RNAcentral